GGUCUAGUUAGUUAGGUCAGCUGUUAGUGUGGCAGGGUCUAGUUAGUUAGGUCAGCUGUUAGUGUGGCAGGGUCUAGUUAGUUAGGUCAGCUGUUAGUGUGGCAGGGUCUAGUUAGUUAGGUCAGCUGUUAGUGUGGCAGGGUCUAGUUAGUUAGGUCAGCUGUUAGUGUGGAGCAGGUCUAGUUAGUUAGGUCAGCUGUUAGCGUGGCAGGGUCUAGUUAGUUAGUUUAGCUGUUAGUGUGGAGCAGGUCUAGUUAGUUAGGUCAGCUGGUAUGCUGUGAGGGGUUGCUAGAUGACUAACCGAUUGACUCCUCGAAGGCGAAGAG
Gadus morhua (Atlantic cod) is the source of this 326-nucleotide long non-coding RNA. RefSeq lists it as uncharacterized. The transcript has 3 exons. The record is from RefSeq and is a predicted model, not a curated record. NCBI's taxonomy places the organism in Eukaryota, Metazoa, Chordata, Actinopteri, Gadiformes, Gadidae.